GAGACCAGCAGACGUGCUUUGUUAAGCUACACAAUGUUAGGAAAAAAUGAAUUAGUUGCAAGCAUUUCAACAUGGGGAGACUGAGCAUAAAAUAUGGAUUUCUAGCGUCUCUUGAAAAAAGUGAAAAUUUGAGUAAACUGGUUGGAUCUGAGAAGCUGAUUCCUCACUUCUAUGGAGCAGACGCUGCAUUUCUACACCACAGUAGACUCAUUCACCUACGUCACCUGUCUGGUCCUUGAAGAGAUCUGACUUGGUGACCUUUGCUCUAAAGCAUUGUUGGAAUUGACGGUAAGAUAUUAAGUUUAAUCGUGUUUUCGGGCAACAUGAUGAAAUCUGGGUUUCUUAAAUCCCAAGGACCCAUAACACAAAUGAAUAGGCUAAUCUCACUCCUUCAAGUUCUCCCCAGAUAUAUUUGGGAUACCGUUGGGGAUGUGUCUCACGUUUGUAUGACUUACUGCAUUCACUGUUCCCCUCAUUUUUGUUCUGACUGAUAGGGCCCAGUGCUAUAGCGGCUACUAAUACGCAAUGAAACGAGUAUUAUGAGUAUUAUGAAAUGGCCGAAAAGCCCCAUUUGAAGAGGAGAUUAAUAUGUACUUCACAGAGUCAUUAGAACAGUUAAAGGAAUAUUUGUAAAGGGUUUCUAACAGGACCCAGUAAAAUGUAAGUAUCGCAGCUGUACUUCCUACAUUAAAAAAAAAAAAUUGAAUGCGGUCAAGAUUUAGCUGGGUUGCCAAUUCAUAUAUGCUUUUUCCUACUGUUCUCUCUGAAGCCUGGGUUCAUGCAGAAAAAAUGACAUUCCUCGGGUUACUAUGUCUUUCUUGGUCCGAAUGAGAAAAGGAGGGGUCUUCCACCCUUGUCUAUUUCAUUCUCUCUGUUCAUAAGCUGCAUAAGAGACACCCCUGAGUCCUCAAAGCCUGUAAGGUUUUUAGCGAAAGCGAUCUUUUAGUCUUACCCUCUCCUUCUGCCCUACCUACCCCACAUGUGAGGACAUGGUGCUUGGACAGAGAUAAACUCAAUCACAGAAGUUGGGUAACAUUCAAAUUUCUCUCUCUCCUCCCAAUGUAGAAGCUUCAUGCCCCACCUUUCUCUUCCUGCAGGAAGAGUUUUAUGGCUUUGCUACUAGAACCUGAAGCUAGCCCAGGGUGCUUCCGAAAGCCUGGCUCUGCAGAAUCCAGUGAUGAGCACAAUUUAGGGCCCUACGAUAGCUUUGGCCACCGCACUUGGGGUUCAAAUGAGGAGUCAUCUUCCAGCGGUUUCUGGGCCCUAGUCAUCCGCACAGCCCAAGCUUCACCCAUUUCUGACUGUCAGGGCAGUAAUUCUUUUCGGGGGGUAGUGGCCAUUUCUACAUUGGAGUGCCAGUUACUAAAGUGGGAAGAAUCUUUAAGCAAGGAAAUUUAGUAUAAUCUCUAUUUUCUGUCAGCCCCCUCCUUGCCAUCCCUACCCCCAAAAUCGCAAUCAACAAUGACCAAAUACAAAAAAAAAAAAAAAUUCAUCAGUACUCAUCAAAUACUGAAGAAGUAAAGAGGCUACUGAAUAGGCUAUAUAAAAUAUUAACCACUCACAUGGUAUCUCUACUUUCAGGCACUAAAAAGUUUCAUAGUUUCUUUUGGUUUUGUUUUCUUUUUCUUUCUUUUCCUUCCUUCCUUCCUUCCUUCCUUCCUUCCUUCCUUCCUUCCUUCCUUCCUUUCUUUCCUGAGAAAAUAGGUUCUGUUUCUCUUUUUUACGUUCUUGGUAGAAUUUCUUGGGAGAUUAUUUAUUCAUUGCUUUCCUUAAAGUAUCAUAUUCGAUGACUACUUUAGACAUCACUGCAAUGAAAGGAUAUAUAUGUACUGUGUAAUAAACAUUAUUUAUGUAUAACUGACUUCAUAUAACACAGUGUGUCUACGUAAUGCUCUUAAAGAAAUCUACCUGUCACCUUGUGCACAUGCACAGGUGGUCCUGUGUCAAAUCCAGUCAUCAUCAACACAGCUGUGAUGAAAUGAGUGCCCACGAGGUAGGUAGGUAUUUUAUGUAAUUGGGAUACUCUGCCUAUGAAACACAUAACAAAAUUUCCCUUUUACAGGUGAAGAAGCUUCUUCGGCAAACUUAGUGACUUGCUCAAGGUCACACUAUUGUAUUAGUUAAGGACAGAGUGCAAAUCCAGCCUCUGGUCUGUCAGGUCCCAAGUUCUUACACUUCCAACUCUUAUGUUCUCAACCCCGAAGAGAUCAAAGGCUCUGAGACAGAAGAUGGUCUUUACCAAGGACAGUUUAGGCUGAGUCUUUACAAAACCCAGAGAUUUUAUGGGCUGAGUCUCUGCUUUAUCCCCGGACAAUUACGGGGGAAACUACAUUGUCAGAUGAUAGGAAGGAUCAGUUGACAGUGAUACGAUAAAGCAGUUGCUAUCAGAGGCAGAAAAUAUAUACUUGCUAGUUCUUUUGGGAUUAGAGAUAGGGAUUUUUAUAGAAUUUGACAAAAUGAAAGCAUUUUCAAGAGAACCUGGGCCCAUGAUAUUCUUGAAAAAAGUCAGUUGACUUUUAACGUUUUGAGUGGUUUAUGCGGAAGCUCUCUGGGUGAGGUCAAGAACGCAGUUACAGACUCUGGGGCAGGAUGGGCCAAGGGUCCCAGCCAUUGAUAAGACAAUUAUGCAGGUCUUGGCUAGGGAAGAAACUUUGCCACAUUUAAGGCAUUACAAAGAUUGUUAUGAGUAGCUAUUAUUGUGGGAAAGGAAAUCAGGGUCUCCAAGAUGUCCUAAUGAUGUUAGAACACCACACUGUUUCAACUUAAAUAUCAGGAGACAGCUCAGAAAUCCUCUGGAAUAGGUUUCUGAACAAAAAUGGCCCGCGCACUGCUUGCCUAUGUCAGUUUAUGGCAACUUUGGGACACUGCAAUUUUGAUUUUCUACAUAGAUCUUAUAUAGGAGACAGCAAACUAAAUAACGCCCUUGAUAUUAGUGAUGUAUACAUUCAAUAACAAAUAUAGCAGUGGUAUUCAUACUGUGUUUCUUCUAGUGACUGAUAAUAAAAUGUUAUAUUAAAUGAAUUCAUAAUGAAGACAGUUUCGGGAGGGAGCUAAUCUAAGAUGGUCCAAACACAUAAAUUUCUGAAGGCCUCACUGGAUUACAUUUCAUCACUUUCAUCACAUUACUUUAUCUCCUUUAAACUAAAAUAAUUCUAACUUAGCCCUCUCCUAUAAGGCAGAAAACUUAAUGCUCAUAAUUAUUGGGGUUCCCUGCAGGAUCGUGCAAGGGUUCUCUUACCCCCUUACACAAAACAGAAUGUUCAGGGUAGCCAUUGUGUCUUUUUAUCCACACUGAUCCGUUGCCAUAGCCAGAGCCUCUGUUGCUUUCUGUGAUGGUUUUGCCAUGUGCCCACUUGGCUAAGCUGAACUGCAUUUCCCAGAAUUCCCUUUCCUCUGUGUUUCCUGUUAGCAUGGGCUACCGGAGAGAUUCUCUUGACAGUUGGAGGAUGUAAGGAAGGCAGCGGCCAUUUUGCGGUACACGCCAUUGUUGAUCUUUUGAUUCAUUUUACUGGCAUGAAGCAGCAACUUGGCCAGCCAUUGUCUCUUCCCCGACUGGAUCUUCUUUCAGUUUUUCUGACUCCUACUCAGGUGUAUGUGUGGCUAGGUCCUCAACAAAGGAUCUUGGCCUCUACAAGAUACUCUUGUUACGAAGGUCAGAGGCAACAAGAACUGAUGAGCAUUAGCCUAGCCUCUUGGCAUUCCAGCUCAUGCUUCUAGGGUUCCGGCCUGUUCGCGACCUUUCUUCCUAAUUGCCAGCCUGUGGGUUCUGGGUUCCAGCAUUAGAUGUGGAGACAACUUUGCCGGGACUGCUUAGUAAACUCCCAUGAGUGCUUAAGCCAAUUCCCUUUAAUAAGUCCAUAUAUUUUAAUCUCCUACUGUUUCUGCUUCUCUGUGUGAACACUGACUAGUACACUUCCACGCUGCUCACUGAGGAUGCAAACCUUUGUCAAUGCUGGAAUCCCACGGUCUAGGUUAGGUGCUGCCUACAUAUAUGCCUACAGCCUCUCCUUACUGAGACCCUGUCACUCUCCCUCCCAGAGAUGUCCUGUGCGGUUCAGCAUAGUUCUCUACCACGGUAGGAUCAUUUUUAGUCUGUAUGACUUUGCUUCAUCAUCUUCCUCUGGAGUAGCUAAUGACAUUUCUUCAGUGGAUUUAGGCUUUCACAAAAGAUAGGGUUUGACUUCAGGCCAUUUCUGCUUUCAACCCCAGUAAAAAACUUAGCGGGGCAAACCAGUACAACACUUUACCUUUUUGGAGUUGGAGAGCUUAGCAUGGGAGAAAAACUAACGGAAAACAAACAUAGCACUUUAAUAAUGAUCCCACCAUAGGAGGGCAUAGCUAAAGAUGUAGAUAGAGAUAUACUUCUGGUUCUAAAAGCCAGCUGUUCCCAAACUCUCUGCCUACCAAAUCAGAAACUUCUAGGGUGGGGUACAGGGAAUUUGUAUUUUUAAUUAAAAUUCUCUCAAGUGGUUCUUAUGUAUAGCCAAAUUAAGAGUUGUUGUCUUAUGCUAGCUUCUUUACGUUGAAUGUCAGUUUUCCGAGUGGAGCAUUUGAUGGUGGUGGGUAGCAAAUAGUAAUAAUCCUCCUAUAUAAGGAUCUGGUGUGUAGGCUACUCCAUAUGGCUAAACAUGCAUUUGUGUUUUUAAGCUAGAAGAGGCAGAGAUAGGGUUGACAUUCUAUUAUAAAAGUUAAGAAAUUUUCUUAUUUACCAUUCUUAUGCAAUUGGUAGAAACCCCAUCUGCGAGAGAACACGAACAGGGUGAUUAUAGUCAAAUAAAAACACAUGUUUUGGGAUCGGGACUGGACAGUCAGAGCGGCUGCAGCUCACGGACUGGAGGAUGAGCAGGUCUGAGAUGGGUGCACUCCACAUUUGUCUGAGCGCCCCCUGAGGCACACGGGUUGAGGUGUCCUUCCAGCUGUGGGUCAGGCUGCCCUGAGCUUCCCUGGCUAGAUUCUAGAGGCUUGAGGAGUUUCAGUUCACUGAGGAAAGAAACACAGGCAAAAGCGUAAUGAUGAUGGAGAUUGUCCAGUAAGAAAGCAAAGCCUGACUGGGGCAAUACUCUUUGCUGGCUCCCAGUGACAGUGAUCUUGAUGGUCAGGAGAACGUGAGGGCCUUUCUCGUCUGGCAUGAGAGAACUUUGUGAAGCAAUGGGUCAGGCAACUGGAGAGUUGCCAUGGGAGGUUGCUGGAUACUGAAGACACAGUAACUGAUGAAGAUGAAAAAGUUGAAGCCGGCAGAAAUAUUAAUACCCCCAGUCUUAUCCUAAAGCAGAUUUGAAGAGGGAAUAUGACCAAGUCUCUACAAAGAAAGUAAUUGAGUCUGUGAGCUGUUCUUCCAAGGUCGCUUGUAUUCUGGCAACUUUUCCCCAAACUUCUGGUAAGCCAAAGCCAUCACCUAGUGAUAAGAAAAAAUUCCACAGGAGAGACUACAGCGAACCCACGGCUGCUGGAACCUCAGCAAGGAAGGAUGCCUUCACAGUGGUUUGGAGAGAACUGCUUGCACAGAAGAGAUGGAACUCAAGAGACUAGUUUCCAAAGUAAUGGUGUCAGAUUUUAGAAGGUUUCUGUGGCCAUGAACCUACUAGCUCGAUAGAGGAACUCGUUUAUUAAAUGGGGAUAAUACUACCUUUGCCUGUGAUUUGGGUGGGAAUCUCAUUUUGGGUAGCCAAUUUACUGAAUUCAAUUUCUUGCCAAGAAAGUUUGUCUCAGAAGCAAAUCCAUUUUUUAGGGGCCUUACUUUGCAGUAGCAACUGUAGAAGCUGUAUGUAAGGACAACUUCAAUUACUUGUCAACUACUUGUCACACUGUCUAAGCCACUACGAUUCAUUCAGAAUGUUCUCUUUGUGAUGAAAGAGACGCCUUGAGAAAGAAGGCUUGUCCUAAGGGUCUCCUGGUGGCUGAAUCACAGCUUAGUUCAUAGUCAGGGGCUCUGUUUACAGCCGUGCCUAUCAAUACAGUUGGUGAGGAGGUGAGAAGAAAUCAAGAGCUUAAUUCUCCUGAUAAGAAAUACAAUGGAGGCCCCGGAGCUUUUAUAUCAAUUGUCAAUUAAUACAGCUCUGUUGAUUAAAUAGCCGGUAGAAUCAUGGCUCACCUCUCUGCCUCUGAAAAUGUGGUACAAAGACAAAGUCUCCUCUCCUUCCACCGCAAUGUUUACUGUAUGUUGGUGUCGUCCCUUGGUUUUCCUUGACUAAUUGACAAGCCCAGCUAUUCAAGUUAAUGUUGAGUGGUCAGUACCAAGACCGGGAGGCACAUCAGGUACAGAUUAACUAUGGGAGAGCAGCCCAGUUAAUUCUCGAGGAAGCGCCAACUCAGCCAAAUGCAGCAUUAACAACUUACAGAGUUAACAAGUUACACCCCUAUUAGCAAGUUGACUUUUUAUUGAGGGUUCAUUUAAAAAAUGAUGAAUGAUUCUUAACUGGGAAUGCAUUGGCAAGUGGCACGGAGACCAAGAUUGAGACCGACAGUCCAUUUGCCUGGUGCUUAAAAUAUUGUGCAGUAAUUCUAAACAUUAGUGGAAAGUAGUUUCCUGCCAGCAGGGACUCAUCAUGGACUUCUACACCAGACUCUAAGGUGUCUUUUGGGGAUACACAGGGGUGAAGUUUUUCACUUCUCAGGAAGAGCUCUUCCGUGUGGAAAGAACUUUAGCCGAAGUGAAAUGACAAUUCCUUUGCUGUUACAGGAUCCCAUUACAACUCUGAGAGUGCACACAACAGAAGACCAUCCCCAUUUUUUUGGUUCUAUGUCUUCCCCUUCAUGAGAGUCGAAUAUUUGUGCAGAAAAAAAAAAAAAAAAAAAGGUUUAUGCCAAGUAGAGACGAAUUUUUAGAAAGCAUCUCCUAGGCCUUUUUGAAACCCAAGCUGAAAUCACUUUCCCUGUGGCAGAUGAUGUAGGUGAGGUACAAGCCUGUUUGGCUGGUUUUGUGGCUUGCCCAAUGCCCCUGCUCUCUGUUUCUAUCUGCAGCCAGGAAAACUUCUAGUGCUUAAUAUUUGAAUAUAAUACUUGAUGUCUGCACAGUAAAACUAUUCUAACUUUAAGCCAAUGCUGAAAAUGAGGUAUACGCCAGCGAAUGGUUUCUUAAUCUCAGCCCUGGAGAUGAAUACAAAACUGUGCUUUUCUGAAGCGUGUUUGAAAAACCCCUGCCUCAACAUCAUGGCUAAUGGGAUCAACUUUAAAAAUUGUUUCCCAGCUAAAAAUCUAUUCUAGUAUAAGACAAAGAGAGAGAGAGAAAGAGAGAGAGAGAGCGAGCACAAGAGUUAGGGGAGAAGGUAUGAGGGUGGCUUUCUAAAACAUGACUAAAAUUGUGUUCUAGAAUAUGAUGUAAGAUACCAUUCCUAUAGAAUCUACAGGAAUGACUGGGCAGGCCUUUGAACAAAUGUCUGUAUGAUGAAAAGGAGGCAAGAAGGGCCCAAAAUAAGGCCUUCCAAUUGUUGGUAAACAGAGGGGAGAAUUAAGACUCUACUAAGAUCCAAACAGAACUUGUUGGAGAAGUCCUUAUCUGACAUAUUUUCUGCAUUAAAAACAAAAAAGAUAUUGAAUGUUCCUUUUUGAACUCUAUCUUCUUGCAUAUAUUUUUACAAAGAUUGUUUCCUUCAUCCUUGUGAUGUUUUACUAUUUCUGUUUCGUUUGGUACCAUAGAUUAGAUGUUAGUUUACUAUGUUAAUGUGUAAAAAGAAAAAAAUUGUCUGAAGUAGGUGACCUUUAAUGAACAAAUGUACACUUUAUUUAAGUUCUUUAGUAGAAUUUGGUUUGGUGUUUUUGGCGGCUGUUCACAUGAAGGAAAUUAAUCCAGUUCUCAUAAAUAUUAAAGAAAAACUGCUAAUUAUUGUUAUUGUACAGAAGUCAACUUUAGAAAAAUACCUAGAGUGGGGGGCCAGAGCCAGAAGAAGAAUAUUUACUAGCAAGGCACAUUUAUUAAUUCUUUGUUGUUGUUUUUGGGUUUUAAUAGUGACAAGAAUUGUGCAGCACUAGGUGAGUUUGGGGAUACGAUGUCAGUUUUACUUUAAAAUGAGAAUGUGAUGCUUGGUAGGUUAUCUUUUUUGAUGAGACUUAAGUAAUUCCUGGGGCUGGCGGGGGGGAUCUAGUUUCAGUGCCCAUGACCUUUACCAAUUGUUCCAGGCACACGUAAGGGACAGGUGAGGUCACGGUCCAAAUUUAGGUGAAGGCUGGCAUAGUGUAGACUCAAGACACAGACGUGUGGAUCCAAUUGUGAUACCAGCCAGAGAAACUGAAUCUUCAAGUGACCCAGGAUUUGUUAUUUUUUAGAGUAUUAUCAUUGAUUAUUGAGGACUACACAGAUUUAUACAUUCAAUGGAUUUUAAUCAAUCCCAGUCAUUCUUUCUGAUGCUCAAAGUAUCAAAUAAGGCCCCUCUGACAAGUGGGACCCAUUAGAUUGGUUAUUUAUUUAUUUUUUCGGACAUGACCCAUUAGUAUCUGGGUGCUUCUGUGCCUUCCAGAACAAGGCUCACCUUCUUUGUUCCCCAUCCCAGACUUGGAAUCAGUCAAGUUUUGUUUAGUAGCAUGUUAAGGAUGGUAUUUUGAAACCAAAUCUUGACACUGAUGGGAUGUGAAAUGGCAUGUGAAGGGAUAUGGCACCAGCAAUGGCGUGCUCAUCAAAACGUUAAACUCGGUUCACUGGAAAUGUAGGGAGUAGAGGAACAAAUUAAAAGACAGAGUGAUGAAACCAGCAGACAAGUCCAGAGUGUGAGGCAUCCUAUCAGACACCUGGCUUUUGUCCUAUUAACAAGUCAAUGUCAUGAAAAAUGUGAGGAGGAUGGUUCCAGAUUUGAAGAGACUUAAAAGACAUAGCAAAAGCCAUAUGGGGUCAUUACUUUAAUCCUGUUUUGAAAAAAAUAAUCUAUAAAGUAAUUCCAGAAAUUAUUAGGGAAAUUGUCAUGUAGAUUCAUUAUGAGAUGGUGAUAUUAGGUAAUUAAUUUUUUGAGGUGUGACAAUGGUACUGUCAUCAUUCAGCUAAAUAUUUUUUGGUGAUAUAGGCAAAAGUGUUUAAGAGUAAAUGUAAUGUCUGUAGUUUAUUUAAAAUGAUUUGGCAGUAAUAAAAUUCAAAAUAGAUUGGUGUAGAACUAUACAAAUAUAUAUAAUGUGCAUAUGAAGCAGAUGUGGCAAACUCAAUUUGUGAAGAAUUAUUGUAUCUAGGUGAUGGGUCUUUAUUGUACUUCUUUUCCAUAUAUUUUAAGUUUAUUAUUAUUAUAAAAGGAAGUUUUAUAAAAGGGGAAGGGGAACUCCCUGACUUUGGGACACAGGAAACUUCGUGCUCCUGAGAUCUUUACGCUGAUGUUCCUCUCUACAUUUCCUGCCCAACAGAUGAUACGCCGUCCGUCCAGCUCCCAAGUCAAAAGUCUUAAAGCCCUCCUCGUCCCCUCUUCCUCCUUCAGCCUUUUCAUUCAACAAGCACGUUUUUCCAAUGGUAUCUUCUACAUAGGUCAUGAAUCUGCCCCUACCUCUGUCCACUAUCUCAGAGACCCCGGCAGCAGCCUCUCACUGACCUCCCUCCUCCACAGUCAUAUAUUCCUUGCAUCCGUUCAGCCUCCAGAGCGAUCUUUCUGCAGCGUGAGUCCCAUCGCCCUUCUUCUCUGUGACUCCCCAUUGCUUAGAGGAUAAAGUCCAAGCCCCUAGCAUGGUGUGCAAUGUGGCACCACCUGCACUGCCAUUCUUGCCCCAGCGACACGGAACCCUACUCGUGUUGUCUUCUAUGUGGUGCUCUCUGCCUCCUCGUCCCGGGGCUGACUCCUCAAGGGCAUCCUGGAAUCCCCAAAUGCAGGAGUCCUUCUGCCCCAGACCAGCUCCUCAGCCACCCUGCCCCGUUACUGCGCUGCAAGUCCCCCAUAAAUACCAUGUGCACAUCGCGGUUACUGCAUUAGCUCAUACUCGCGUGAGGCGACAGAUUGUAGAGACUGGAGCCAAAGUGCCUGAGUUUGAAUACCAGCUCUGCUCCCCACUCACUCCUUGUGCCACGUUGGGCCAGUUGCUUAAUCGUUUCACGCUUGUGGUUCUCAAAUAUGGAGUCAGGAUACUAAGUACUACUAACAGGACCCCCAACUCACAGUGCUGAGGAUGCCGCAAGUGUUUAGAACAGUGCCAGGCACAUUAUAAGCACUCAAUAAGUGUUUACUAUUGAUACUGUCUGAACCGUGUUCCUAUUUUCUCCCUAGAUGGUGAGAUCCUCGAAAUGAGGGCUGGUAUUUAUAGAUAUUGCCACGUGUCAGACACUGUGUGAAGUGCUUGCGUUCCAUUUAAUCCUCACAAAUGAGGUCAGUGCCAAUUCUUCCUCCCUCCCUCCCUCCCUUCCUCUGUCUUCCCACUCUCCCCUCUCCCCCACCUCCCUUCUUCCUUUCCUCCCUUUGCCCUUCCCUCCUUCCGCACGUGUUCUACUGCCAAGCCUAUGCCAUCACCCCUAUUUUUACAGAUGAGGAAAUGGAGGCACAGCACGGGCAAGCGGUUUGUCCACAUGCACACGGUCAGUUCACUGGAAGUCCCUAGGUUGGCUGGUGUUCCCACUGCCUAACUCUGAAGUUGGUGGGGGCCACACCGUACUGUGCACUCUUCUUUGCAUCAAGAGCAUGUAGCAACUUGACUGCCAUUCUAGUGCUCACGAAGUGUUUGUGAAACGAAUGGGCCAAUGAAUGAAUGUGAGUAAAUGAAGUUAAAAGGAGAGAAAGAGGGACAUAUGGGUGUGGGUACGAUGAACUCAGGUUUCGAUGCGGGCAUGACUUGCUCCGAACAUCCAGGCGAAUAGCAUCCAGCAGGGUCUAUUUGGGAAAUGCAGCGCGACGUCAAAGCCAUGGCCAUGCUGAGUGAACAGAGGGAGCCCUUGAGGAUGUGUGCACCAGUUUUUUCAAAGCCACUCUUGCAUUUUGCUGAGAAUUCACAUUAAGCUGAACGAUCUGGGCCCAAAGCCUCAUUUUCUUUCCUUCUGUGAAUAAUCAGCACUUUUUUGGCUCCCCUCUUACUCUCCAUAAUUCCUCAAAGAUUACUCAGUUUCCAGGAUUAUGUGUACAAUUUUCCUCAUGUUUUUAGCCCUUCUGAGCAGGGAUUUAAAAUAAUUAGCUGCUAGGAGUUGUCUUACUACUUCUAUAGUGAGACGUCUUUUUUCUGCUUUCUUGGGGAUAUUUUCAGUUUGAAAGUCACUCUCUGUGAUAGUACUGCCUGGGGAAAGGCCAAUUUCCAUUCUGGUAGUGGGCAGAAGGCCAGUGUCACUUCCUCAGAGACGCUUUCCUUGACCGUCCUAUAUGAAUUGGUCCUCCAAUUCCCAUCACUGCCAUGUUAUCUUAGGUUAGGGCCUUAAUAGCAUUUAUUAUCUUUGACAGCCAUGUAUUUCCAGUCUCUCUACUGGAAUGUAAGCUCUCUGAGGGUAGAAGCUGGCAUAUUUCAUUCACUACUGGUGUGUGUGUUACAGGUGUCCAAAGAAUUCUUGUUGAAUGAAUGAAAUACAGAUACAGGUAGGAUGGGAAAAAAAGGAAAACACAGAAAAGGGGAAAUGUGGGCAAGAGCCCUGAGGUGCCUCCAGCAUGCUGUCCUUCUUGCCAAACACUUUCCUUCGGUGUUUUAUUUUCUAUUCUAAUCAUCUGUUCUAUUACCCAUUGUUUUCUGUGCUAUUCUGUCUCCGCUGCUGGCCCAUGGGCUCUGGGAGCUUGGUAAUGCUCACCAACUUCGCCAUUCACUUCAUUCCUUCCUUCCUUGCACGCACUCGUAUCAGAUUUGAGUAAGGCUACAGGCUAGGCAGUGUUCUGGGGGCUGGAGGUCCCUACGUGGUGGAAAACAGGGAGAGAGACCAGCUGUUGCCUCUUUUGACAUCCUAAUUUUGCCCGGGGCUAAGCCAGCAGCAUCUAAGAAAUAUUUCCUUUCUCUUGCUGCCCAGGGAGGCUUUAUUUAGAAGCUGUUAGCUACAGGGGAACAUCUGCCCCCUGUAACCUGACCUCAGUUCCUGAGGAAACCUUAAUCAACCUGCUUACAGGUUGAGAGGAUUAAGAAUUUUUAAUUUACUUAACCACUUUCAAAAAAUAUUGCACUGAUCAGGCUACCGAUUUUGAAUGAGGCUGCUAGUUGAUAUUUCUUUGCAUUGUAAGUGGAGUAAUUGAUUCAGAGUUACGUAUUCAAACUGAAUAUAGAUUAUAGUCUACAUUCAAUUGUGACACCAUACUUUCCAUUUCUUAUGUUUGCUGGUGAUAUAUGUUUUAUUUAAAAGUUGUUUUUGUUUAAAAUAUUAGUGGGUUUUGUUUUGUUUUUUGUUUUUUGGGUUUUUUUUUUUUUUGGGGUUAAAAAGACCUGUCAUGCUCAGGAUACGUGAAGUAGGAGGGAGAAAACAUCGCUUCUCCUAAAAGAACAAUUUUUAGUACAAAACAGCACUCUCACCUAUUAAUCAGACUCAAGAAUAAGAAGUGGUUACUUCAAAGAUGACAUUCAUGCCUGUUAUUUAGGAUAUUAUGCCUGAAGUGUCUCUCAAGAAUAAGCAUCUAGUUUGUGAAGUUCUUUUUCAAACGACUAUAUAUUCGCCAUCACCUCCACCUUCUCCAUAUGCACCUCAAUAGUCCUCACUUCCACCAUGGCCUCCACUCCGCUACCCUCAGAAGCUCUCCUUCUGCCACACCCUUCCCUUGUCUUUGCAAAUCCCAUCCUUUCCCUUCACUCUCCUCCACCUCUCCCCCGCUCCUGAACCACCUCCUUUCCUUCUCACCAUGUCCCCCAGCGGUACCACCACUAUCCAGCAUGCGGGCAUUUCCUCAGGUGGCGAGUCAGUGCCACUCAGUGCCUUCCUCCCCUGUCAGGCAUGCUUCUUAACUCUUUGUUAAUGGCAUGUGAAAUCUUCUGGCUAGUGCCAUCACAGGUUCUAGUGAUCGUCCCCAGGAGCACACAAGCGGAAUUGUUGUCCUAGUUGGCUAACCUCGGGCUGCUAAAGUCUUUCCACGCCUUCGCUGUAGUCCAAAGGACCGUACUGUCACAUCUAAUAGUUUCAUGAAUAUCCGUAAAGGGUGUUCAUUUUCAUCAAACAAAAGAGAAUCAUUGGUUUCUUCCAUUUGUUUCACCUCUUUCAGAUUUAGAUAAAAACUUCUUUUGCAAUUGGUUUGCCCAAUGGCAUUCCUGGACUUUCGCGAGAGAACUCUUUACUGUCGAUUCCACAUGGUUUAGCGGGAGAGGAAUGUCAGAACUGAGUGGUCUGGAUUUGCCCAAGGUUAUCACUGAAGGCUGAAAUGCUUUGUUGUGCUUCAUUUAUUUUCAUCUUAUUGGAUACUUUCUUGUUCCACACCACCUUCAAGGGUUAAGGCUUCAGUGCUUAAAAACGAUAGACGUUUGAAGUAUCACUUUUAAAGAAACGGUCUUUAACAUCUUCUGCCAGGAGGUGGGAAUAUGGACGUAUUUCUUUUUCACAAACCACUUGAGCUUGAGCUUGGGGCUUUCUGUAUCAUCUCCUCCAGUUGAAGUGGUUCUUCCACCUCACAGAACAGGUUUAUUUGGGAGACCAACCAAAUGUGUGUUUUAACAUUCAGGGACAUUCCCCCCUCUGAUGCUCUGACAAGGGCUGCUUCUUUGACAGUAGCUCCUUACAUGCUGGUACCUGUACCUAGCAUGUCCUACAAGACCCUGUGCAUCAUAGGUUCAGCACUGAUCUCUACCAUGUUGUGGGGAGAAGUGUUUCCUGAUGAAGGAUAUGGCAUGGGCAGCUGAGGAAAGCAGUCCCAUUACUAAAUAAGGGUUCGCUCAAGCCACCGUAAACAUCCUCACAACCCUCUACCAAAUGCACAAAGCUGGGGUUCAAGGUGGAUUGAGAUUUCUGGUAUUCUUUUCCUGGGUACUGCCCCUACGGCAGUGUAAGACGGAUUUGUUCCAAUCCAUCUGAGGCCCGAGUCAGCGUCAAAAACUGGAAAAUUUCAAAGUAAGAAAUCAGUGACCAUUAGAUUUCCGUAAUGAGGAUUUGCAGAAGGCUUAUCAAGGGAUGCAUAUAAAUAUUUCGAGGGGCGCCUGGGUGGCGCAGUCGGUUAAGCGUCCGACUUCAACCAGGUCACGAUCUCGCGGUCCGUGAGUUCGAGCCCCGCGUCGGGUUCUGGGCUGCUGGCUUAGAGCCUGGAGCCUGCUUCCGAUUCUGUGUCUCCCUCUCUCUCUGCCCCUCCCCCGUUCAUGCUCUGUCUCUCUCUGUCCCAAAAAUAAAUAAACGUUGAAAAAAAAAUAAAAAAAAAAUAUUUCGAGAUGAAGGACAGUGAGCACCAGUGACUAGCAAAAAUAAACCAGAACACAAGCCAUUUCCAACUAGGAGAAUGAAAACCAGCUACUUCAUUUUCAAGUCUAAGCAUCCAAAAUCUAAUCUCUUCCACACGUGCAGGUACAUUUCUUUUUGGAAAAAAAUGAUGUCCAUGUCGCGACAUUCCAGAGAGAUGAUUUGACGGUCCUCUCCACAGCAUGCACUUCCCUGCCCAUGCCCGUUGAUUAAAGUACGUCAGGGCCUUCCAAAGAUCUUCUAGAAGAUAGCCUCAUCCUGUUAUUCCACUGAUAAAUCUCUUUCACCGUUCCUCAUUGCCUACUGGAUAAAGUCCAAGAUUCUUCUGACAGGCCCAGGCUUUCACCAUGUGCCCCUGACCUCUGCUCUAACCCCGGGUUAUCACACAGCCUAAAACCUGGGUUCUUCUCUUGGAUCGUGCAGACUUCCUCAACCUGGUGUCUAUUCCUCUUGGAAUGCCAUUCCCUGCUUUCUCUUCCCCGUUGACCUUACAAUUCUUCGCUAUUCAACAUAGAUACCUUCAAGAGAAAACUUCUCGACUUUGACUGCCAGGUUAUGCACCUUUUCCACCACAACUUAGCAUUUAUCAUGGCAUUGUCAUAUCAAUUCUCUUGUCUGUACACCUGGGGAGGCUGCAAGUCCCAUGAGGGCAAAGACUGAGUUUUAAUUCAUUAUAGUCCAGGAUCUGGCACAAAAACGUUUGUUGAAUGGAUAAACCAUUAGAUGAUAUAUAGGAGAGGCGUGCUGGGCUCAAUAUCUCUUGAGAGUCCCUUGAGAAUAAAAAGGAGGUGGCUAUGAAUAGGUGAGGCCAUGGGACAAGGGGAGUGCAAAUUUGGUUGGCACAAAUUCCCAUCCUAGUGUAUAGCUAAUUAUAGCACAGCAGGAAAAUAAGAUGUAGACAGGUCACCAUGCUGGGAUUAAAGUAAGACUUAGUGGACCAAUUGGGUAUCCCAGAAUGCACUGGACACACAUCAAAUAUCAUGUUUAGGGAGCUGAAGUGAUCAGGAGUGGUAUGGAGCUGAACUCACAGCUUGGGGGUCUCCUGUCUACAUCUGAGUAGGACUGGAGGAGACCAGCAGGGAGGAUGGAAACCUUGGAGACCUUUCCAAAUACCUAUCUCAGAGGAGAAAUGCAUGGGGGGGGGGGGGGGAGUUUCAUUAAUCCAUUUUAUUUCCAUUUGUGAGCAAAAAAACCCAAAGUGAUUGGGCAUACUUCAAGUGACCCAUGCAGUAGGAUAAAAAGGGGACAGAGAUUUAUACAAGUCUAGAAACCAGAGUAAGAUUAUCACUGAGUGCUAUCCAACUCCUAUGGAGAGGAAUGGCCAUGGAGAAGGUUUGGAAACAAUCCAAAGUGUGGAUCUAUCCUGUCUGGGGUCCACUAUAGCCCUGGAAUAAUUCUCAGGCUACUUAGACAAUUUUGUAUGUUGGCCAUAGUCCUGUAAAAUGUUUAAGUGACUCUUGGGAGAUUACAGCACCUAGAGUUCAAAGGAGAUGCUGAAAAAGUGAAAGUCUCACAGGAACAGCAGGGCUGGGGUCUGCCCAGAAGGCUGGAGUUGCCCCCCACAUAGUUCUUGCCAUUCUACAGUCACUGUCAGGUUUAUUUAUCUGUUCGUAUCAAAAUCAGGGAAACAGUAGGAGAAAAACAAAAACAAAAUCCCAACUUGGCUGGCGGUUCAGUAAGGCAGUCUACAACAACCCUGAGCUCAUCUAGAAUCAUGCAACCUUAGAAGAGAGAGGAAAUGCAGAAACCUUGGAACUCAGAGACUUUUGACUUUAAAGCUGCCAGUUUACCAGACUCCUCUGGGAAUCUGACCCAACUGGCCACUCCUCCGUUCAUUUCCCUGAACCUAUUCUCUCUCGGCUCACUUCCCAGCCCUCUGACUGCUCAUGGCCAGAGCUCACCAGGGGCUCCUCUUACUGUGACCAACACCCAUCCUCCCUAUCCUCUGCCUCUGGGCCCUUUUUCUCUUUUCACUCUCUGCCUGGCCUCUGGGCAAUCUCACACAUAGCAUGACUUCAGCUACCAUCUGUAUGUUGGAGACUCCCAAAUACUUACUCCUUUCUAGAUCUCUGUGGACACUUCCCGACUAGCAGACCUAGCCCAGUGAAUGUUUCACAGGUGCUUCAAGUUCAAUACCUUCCUUAUUUCUCCUCACCACCAAAACUGCUAUCCUCUCAGCCCCUGCCUUCCCUGGUAAAACUAGCAAAUGCUACUCUCAGGCACAUUAACUGUCCAAAGGAGCUGGCUACAAGCGACCCUGGAUCCUGCACCCUCCUUCACCCUCUCCUCAGCCAAGCAUCAAACACCAAGUUCUCUUACUUUUUACCUCCAAAAUCUCCUUGAAAUCCAUCCCUUCUUCUCAACUUUGCCCUUCUAUCUCCUGGACUGGUAAAUGUCAAGCUACCCUUCUGGCUUCCUACCCCUAAUGUCACACUUCUGCUCUUCCUGCAUCGCUGCCUUUGUGAAUUUUCUAAAGUGAAAUGAAUCUCAAUAGGUGGCUUUCUAGCUUAAGAGCAAUGUUUCUCUGCCAUAACCCCUCUCGCAGUACAUGCCGGGCCAUGCCGGGCCAUGACUAGAACUUCUUGCUGCUUUCCCACUUUGUUCUUCUAGGAUACUCUUGUAAUACUACUUUUCUUGUACUCUCCUGGGACACGUAAUGCAAGUCUACACCGGGCCACUGUGAACUGGAAUGCGAGCAAAUGUGACAAUUCUUUCAAAAGCGGAAUUCAACUUUGGUCUUGAGAACAGCUAACUCAUUCUUUCCCAUUUUGGCAUUCGGUCGAAUCCAGGCAUUUUUUUUUCAUAUAUACUCAAAUGCUGCUUUCUCAACCACCGUCAAGUUCAGAGCUUUCCGUGGUGAGGUAAAUGUUCUGUUUCCCAGGGUUUCUUUUCUCUCCACUUUCCCCUGCCUUUCUUUUUGGAGGUGACAUUAAGUGACUGAGGGGAAGGGGAAUAAUGUACUCUCUGGCAUUAGGAAAGGGGUAUCUUAUCCCCAGCGAGCAUGGCUGGCCGCCCCUGCAGUUUCUGUUGGACAUGCCAGUGACCUGGGUGUCAGACGUCCUAUCCUGGGACCCGUCAGGUUAUGGCUCUCUUGACACCUGCUGACAACCUUACCAUUGUCCUCUGUGAUUUCCUCUCUAGACCCAGGCCCCUUUUGGUCACUCUCCUCUCUCGGAAUUUCAACAUCUCCUUGAACAUCUGGGAACGUUAGUUGACUUUCUCCUCACCCCACGGGGAAGCAGAGGGCCUAAGAGGUUCCUCAGCUUGGCGGUGGUUGUGUCUACUCACUGUCUCACCACCGUAUGGGCAGUGCCACCCCGAACGUGGGAUAAGCCCUCAGGAUAAUCGACCCUCAACCGAUUGUACUUAUAUUCUAUAGGUUUACAGAUACUUCAUCUGAAGAGACGCCAUCAGCGGUGAUAACACAGACUCAAUGAUGUACACACGAUUUUGUAUUCUUUUAGGAUGCAUCACUAUCUAAAUGUCCUCAGAAACAUAUCUCUGAAGCUGUCAAACUGGUGGGGAAGUGGGAAAAAUAAUCGUGGCCCAGUUAGGGGUCCUCACACUUUGGGCUCGGGGUCCUAAUUCCAGGGCUUUACAAAAGCGUCACUUGUCUACACAUUGCCCCCUGUGAUGUCCAUUGUUGCACUAGGCCCACAGUUGUUGGACCACACAGGACACUGCAGGAAUGUUCCCAUCUUCUGAGUGAUAUACCAUGUCUCCAACACAAAGGGACCAGCUUCAGGUUUUCAGCUAGGCUAACUGCACUGAAGUUUCUAGAGGCCAUCUAAGGCCUCAUCUUCCUAGAUACCCCUCCCUUAUUCAUCCAUUUUUAGGAGUCUGGCCAUUUUUUUCUAGGGAUUUUCCUGGAAACUAUGGCACAGACCUCCCAGGACUCCACCUGGAGAGCAGGAUCUCUUCCAGAGACCUGCAAAUAUCAGCCUUUGCAUCGUCCUUCUCUCUUCCACCCCAGUGGGAGGAGUCUUCCAUCAGUGGGCUGUGGAGGAGGAGGAGGAGUCUUGCUGUCACCCACCCAACGGCCUCCCAAAUCUUUUAAAGCCAAAGGCCUUUUUAUUCCCAUAAAGGUCUAGGCUUUUGAAACUCAAAAGGCAGGAAGACAAUCUUUUCCCCUCAGCUCUCUGAGGUCACUUGUCUUUGUGAAGUGCUUUGGGUCACACCCAGUCUCACUGCUGAGGCAAUGGCCUGACUCCUGAGGUGAGGGAGGGUCCCAGCGCUGAAAACCAGAAGCCUGAGUGGGCCAGUGUUGUCCUGCACCCCAGUCCUUUCCUGCUGCUGAUGGUUUACACUAACAUCUUGAAUGAGGAGUGUGCUUGCAAAGCAUAUGUGCAAUCACAUCUGGGGAGGAAUGUAUUUUCCUUUACCCAUCACUGCUUAGUUACACUGUUGAACCAGAACAAGGUCGCCUCUGUCCAGCAUCUAAGGAAAACAGUUCAGGAGCCAAUCGAAAAGCUGAGUUUCUUCUCUCUCCCCCUCCUUCCCCCUCUCUCUCUCCGGGUUAGCACUGAAAAAGCCCGCGAGGUACGGAUCUGGAUGAAAGGGGACAUAACGGAAAAUGAGAUCACGUGGCAUCCAGAGGCCAGGUUUUUCCCCUUGCGGUGUGAACUUGGCUCUCUGUCCCCCUGGAAAUCUUGAGUAUGGAAAUCACGUGCUUCCCCGAAGAGGAGAAAGGAGAGGUAGGAAGAGAAUAUCAUGUGGCCCACGGGAGCCGACGGGGGUUCUUCUCAACAAGUGCCUGCAACUGUUCAAGGAUUUAAGAGCGUGGCCGAUAAGGCUACAAACCACCGAUGGGCCAAUGGAGGAUCGACGUCGGAGGGGAACCUCUCGCCAAAGUAGCUGGCUUCCUUGAGCACCAGGCUGAGAUCUCUGGAAAGGAUGGCUGCUUUUCCCCGACAGUCCUCCUCCUCCUUCUGCUGCUCCCGGGCCUCCUGCCAUUGCUGUCAGCUUACGUUUACUGAGUGCUCGCUCCCUGCCACUUCCUAAGAGCCUCGCGCAAGUUAACCCGUUGAAUCUUCACAACAACUCUGAGAGGUAGGUCCUCUCCCUGCCGUCGUCGUUUCCUCCGAGGAGGAAAAGGAGGCGCUGAGAUGUGAUUUGCCAGAGAGGGCACGGUUCCUAGCCUGAGCUCCGUGACAACACUAUACCCACAACUCUCAGUCGUGUGCCGCCCUGGAGCCCACAGAGAGCUUGUCCCGGUCAUUCACUCCUGGGAGCCAGCCUCUGGGAAUCGGCUCUGCAAGCCAACAAACGUUGCUAAGGGCAGAGGAGAAUGAAUUUAUAUUAUCCCACCUCCCCUGGUAGCGAUCACACCUGCCCAGAUCUUACGCUAGGCCAGCCCAAAGCCGCCCCAAGGCAUUGAUUCCGUCGGUUUCUGAAAUGUUGCAGUUUCGUCGGAAAGUUCAGGCAAUUUUGUCCUUGCUACUCGCUAUACUCAUGUUUAUAUCUGUAUUCCCCGCCCCCACCCCCCGCCAUAUUGACAAAUGGCAAUAAUAGGUCCAGGUGGAUAGACCGGGCGUAGGCCUACCAAACAAGAUCUGCUUCUCUAAAGGAUAAAUUAGUCUGGGCAAACAGGGUAGACAGCAGAGAGAAGCGCUACACCCCCCAGUGACAGAUGGGAGGUCUGAGCGUCCAGGUCCCAGGUUGGCCCGCGGAAGCAGAUACACAGCCCUUUGAACACUGUUCCCCUCAGGCCGGGCCUUGUAGACUGGGAGCCUGUCCUUCCGCAAGGUGCACACCACUGCUCUCCUGCCACACCAGGGACAAUAUGAGGGGCCAGCGCAGCACAUUUGGGCAUGAACACUCUCCUGACAUAUCACCCUCAGCCUCUUCAGGCCAACACAGCCUGAACCUUUCCUGAUCUUAGAGCUGUGAACUUGAACAAGGCUCAGAUACACAGGGGUCUCUUAGAAUCAGGCUAUGGGGACGAUCCUGCAACUUUAAUCAUAUUUAAUUGAAUACUUCAGGCACGGAACACGCAUUUUAUUGAGCGGCUUGUGUAUCCCUCAACUUUCUGCCAUUUAUACCCAGACCUAUGCACCCCUCUUUUUUUGGGAAGCGUGGUGAUGGCAUUAUAGUACCAGGGUUAUGAGCAUAGGGGUUUGGGGGAACCAGAUGGGACACUGUGGAGUAACAAUUUCCAGGACCCACAGAGACCAGGACCCAUGGCCUUGGCUCAAACACAGAGUCAGUGACACUCACCCAUGUCCCCAAAGUCCUGGACCUCAACCCCACGCCCAGGUAUACUGCCCCGGUCUGUGGAGUGGGAGCCAGCAGUUGAAGAAAUGGUUCAACACUCCUUGGUCCCCGGGUGCUCAGUCAUUUUUCCAGGGAGCAUGGGUCUGUGUUCCACCAGCUGUGUGGUUCUCCGGCGUCACCAGAACCCAGUGACUGUCCAAAUUAAUGCUCCUUAGGGGCAGAAGGACUACUGUACAGUGUCCUGAGGGGUUGACUGGUCUAUCAUGCACAGCCAGAGAUCAAACCAGGAGCUACAGAGAAAGUCAAACAUGUACUCGUAUUGUGAUAUGCCAUUUAACAAAAGUAAAACUCCUUGGAAGUAUUUAAGCCCUUCCAGCCAUUUUCCGUGUACACCCCAGCAGAAACAUGUUGAAUCGAAACGCACUCUUAAAAGCAACGAAAAUAAUCACAUUACGCAUAUCUCGCCAGCACAUUCUUUAAAGUAGGCUGUCAAAUACCGCGUCUUCAAAUUACGAUCUCAUAAAAUAACCUGACUCGACAUUUAUCUCCAGGAAUAGCAUGACCGCACGGUGUCGUUCGGGUAGCCGUGCCAGCACCAAGCUGGAUAUAGUCCCGUGACCCGGCAGGACAGUGAGCUCUAGGUAGACCGGUAAGAGGACCUUGUGUCUAAACCCGGCCCUGCCUCUCAAGGCGGGUAUAAUUUUGGGCAGACUCCUUCCUUGCUAAGGUAGCUUCAUCUGUAGAAUGGGCACAAUAGUAUCUAACCUAUGGGACUGCUGCAUAAUACAGGUUUAGUACAAGGAUACAACGAGCAUUCAAUAGUUUUUAUUCUUAUUUUUACUGCCCAAAGUCCUACAGUUACUAAGAUGCCAGGAAGAGGCUUGCUUUUGUGUCCUUGUACCCUGUUCUUGAACAUUUUUAAUGUUGUAAAAUAAAACGUGCAGAAAAGUGCCUAAAUAACAUGCAGUUUAACGAGUAUUUAUAAAACCGAUACUCGUAGAAGCACUGCUGAGGUCGAGGGAAGGCUGUUAGGGAUGCCCCAGUAUCCCGUAGGGUACAUCCUUCAUCCUUCCUUCCCGGCCCUCCCCUUCCUCCCAGAGGUCAGCCUCUCUGUCACAUGGCUCCCAUGUAGAGCUGGUGUGGCUCGAUGAGCGGGAUACCCCCUCCGGUAGCUCACAGCUCUCCCUGCACCACAGCAUACCGGGCUUGGGCUUGGAGGGGUCUGAGGGAUCCAACGCACAGCCUCUCCACUCCCAUCCCCACCCCCCCAUAUGGAAGACAGGUGAGUUACAAGCAACUUCUCCUUUCUAGUACAGAGGGACGGCUGGCCUCACUGAUGGUAAUGAGCACACCUAAGAAGUCACGCUCCAACUGUUUUUUAUUUUCUCGUCUUCCACCCAUCUUUCCUCAUCAGAAGCCAAGUGCUGCCCAUUCUUUUUCUCCCAAUGUCCCCAGACUCUUUUUGCAGGGCCCCAGCACCAUACCUGCGCUGCUGACUUGUUUUGGGGCGGAUUGCCCACGUUUUUGAUACUAUGUCUGGGAGGGAUCUUAUUUUCUACCAAAUCUUCGCGCUCUCAUUUGCUCUGGUCCCUUAAAUGUAUAAAUUGUUGAGUUUGGUCUCAUCUCAUUUUCGACUUUGCUCUCAAGCAAUAAAAAGGACCAGUUUGGUGAGGAUAAACUCGUCCGUUUUGAAAAACUUCCUGCUUCAUUCUCGGAUUCAGCGUCGAGUGCUGCUACAAAGGCAGGGUAGGAGGCACAGGCCCAGUCCCUGCCCUUUGGAUGUAAGAUUUUCCAGGGUACAGGGCCGUGGGUGACCUCUCAAGACCACCCCACCCCAACCUCAGCCCUGAUCCCGUGCACAGCUCCAGCAGCGACUCCUAAGAAGUCUUGCAGAACUCACCACAAGAACGCUUGGGUUGCUGGAAAUGGGAAUCAUGGGUAAACCAUGACUGGAGAGACGAACCUUGGCUAUAAAAACCUUGAUUUAGGGAACUCUUUAAGAACUUACUAUCACAAGUCCCUCAUUUUCCAGACCUAUCCUAGUGGUAUUCUAUAACACCACUGUAUGACACAGGACCCCACCUAUCUGGGCACAACCAUGCAGCUUCUGAGGGGCAAGCAGCAGGAAAGGGUGCCAGCAUCAUACAAAGCAUCAGGAGGUUUCAUUUGGGAAAGCCCACCCCUGAGAGAGCCUCAUCACUCAGAGUCCUAGAGUCAAUGUCAGUGUUUAGACAUUUACUCCUUCACAUCCUGGACACAAUCACUCAUGCAGGCCGAUUUAAAUAAGGGCUCUUUCAAGAAGGAAAGCCUUGAAAUAUAGUAGAUGCUUAGUAAAAGCUUCCUGGAUUAAAGUUAUAGAAAGUUUAGGGUUUCUUGGCAUUAAAACAAUUGAGGACUUCAGACCAUUAGCCAGAUAUUUGGGCAGUAACCAACAACCAGCAAAAAUUGUGAAUUCUUACCAUGUAUGAUCCUGAAUUUCAAUAGUCGAAAGUAAAAGUUUAGAGGUAGAGAGAGAGAAUGUUUCCAAAUGCAUUAUUUUCCUGUGCAACUACAGAAAGUACUAUGAUACUUUUUCUAAGGCUCUCUAGGAACUGUAAAAUUUAGUAAAAAAUGGGCAGGUAAACUGUAUUUCAUCAUUCUCCUAGAUUAUCUAUUGUACUGUUAAUUUAGCAAAUGGGAAAAUUAAAUACCUCUUAUGUGAAUUAAAUGUCUUAUUAAUGUUACUGUAUACUCCUUUACAAAGUCAAGACCAGGCCAAAUCAAACACAGACACCCAGAGUGAUUACAUCUAAUCUCAUCAGGGCACAAUUGCAGACCUCAAGAGAGAUGGCCAGAGCACUCUACAUAUUGGAGUUGCUUUUAAUUUGAAACAGAACUUACUUCAUAAUAUGUCAAACAUUGAAACCGACUUGGUGGUGGGGGGGUAAUCAAGACAAAAAUGUGACAGCAUUGAAAAUUGUAAGUUACAUGUUAAUUCUGUAAAAUCACUACAGAAUUUGUAGUGUGGAACAGUUAACGAUUAAAUCAUUGUGUUCAUUCUUACAUGUAUUUGUGCAAACGUGUGCGUUGAGGAGUCAAGUCUAAAGUAAAGAAGUGUGGAGGGCAGGAGCAGACGUAAGCAGGAAAAAAAUGCAGAAUUCAUGGAGACCAAAAGACCACACAGAAUUAAGGGGCUUUUAAGUAUCGCUGGGAAGCAGAGAUGUGUGCUGAUGGUGGGGGAUAUGGAUGGAAAGAGAGGGAGUUGGGAUAAACCAGGUCCGACUCAACAGGGUCUUGUAAGCCAAGAUAAGGAAUUUGGACUUCAUCCUAAGAGCAAUGGAGGACCUUUGAGGGAUUUAACAUAGGAAAGUGACAUGAUCAUGUUUGCAUUUUAGAGAUACUUUGGCUUGUGAGUGGAAAACAGGUUAGAAGUCUAAAGGCAUGGAGUUAUUUGAGAGGGCUGUGAGUCCAGUUUUACAGGUCAACAUACAAUGCAUGCUAUCCCCUUCAAUGUCCACAUUUUUAGAAAUCACAUGCUCAGAAGAUGAAAAAUCAGAUAGAAAUAAUAGAUUUGGAAGUCCUCUUGAUGAUCUAAAUUUCACCCAGUGGAACUUGACCGCACUAUUAAAAACCCUCUAUCGGGGUAUAUCUGCAAUGCUGUCCAGUGUCUGCCCAGAACAGAGGAGAUUUAGGACUUGAGUAUCAUGUGCGUGACUACCUCUCAAAGUGUUUUUGAAUCAGAAUGGUUUUAAUCAUGCUAAGGAUAAUGAAAACUGAUGUCUUUUGGUUUUUUUUCUGGGAAAUAAUAGCCCAAGAGCCAAGAAUCUUCACAAUCUCCCAAUAUUGAUGGUUGAAUCCAUGUCUUGUUUUUGGUUUGGAAAAAUUUGCAUUUCUCAGCAGGAUGAACUUAUCGUAUCUAGGACAGUUUUUUUUUCUUUUUGUCCUAUCUUGAAAGAUUGAAGAAUGCCAAGAGAGAAUAGGAGCAAAGGUCAUCCCAGUGUUAAUGAUUCUGCAGAAUUUUGUAGUUUGGGAUUAAAGGUUUUCUUCAGUCAAGAAAGUGCAGCAUUCAUUUCAAGUCUAUUUUUUUUCCAAUUUAAGGGAAUACACUGUGUGUUUAUGUUCUGGUGUACACUACUAGAAAUAUCUAGUAAAUAUCUAGAAUAUUCUGGAAAUAGUUGUAGGAAGAUCUAAAAUGCUAUGAAUAGCCUCCUUAAUACUUUAUUAUUUUUUUUUUAAUUUUUUUUUUCAACGUUCAUUUAUUUUUGGGACAGAGAGAGACAGAGCAUGAACGGGGGAGGGGCAGAGAGAGAGAGGGGGACACAGAAUCGGAAACAGGCUCCAGGCUCCGAGCCAUCAGCCCAGAGCCUGACGCGGGGCUCGAACUCAUGGACGGCAAGAUCGUGACCUGGCUGAAGUCGGACGCUUAACCGACUGCGCCACCCAGGCGCCCCUAGCCUCCUUAAUACUUUAAAAGUCAUUCUGCUUUCAGUUCUUCAAUUACCGUAAUAAAUCUUUCUCAUCUCCUUUUCCUGAGGGAAAUUACUGGAGAGUGAACUCAGUUGGAUUUCUUUUGAGGAGGUAGAUAAACCAAGACUCCUAAGACAUAAUUUGUAGCUUAAAAGACAUCCGGGGGCGGGGGGACUUUAUUGAAAUAGUUCUAUACUUUUGUCAAUUUUCUCAAAAACUCCAUUUUAAGCUCUACCUGUUUAAAAUACAAGUAAGUAGAUAGAUUCUAACUCUUGACUUCAUCCUCUGUAGGCAUAGCCUCCGGGCACUCAUUGUUUUUUCCUUUCCUGACAUUUUAGUCUAACCUCAAUGUGACAGGUUCAGGCAUCCCGAGAGCAAUGGUGGGAAGAUUUCUGCUCUCCUUGGCUUAUGCCUGGAAACCUGGCUUCCCUCUAUGAGCUGGACACACAACAGUAUUAUCAAUGUCGAUCAACUGACUUGAACACGAAAGGCAGUAAGGACACGCAAGAAUAGAAAACUGCUCGACCGAGAGACAGAAGUGGCAGGUUUAGAAAGAAAACUUAAGGUUGGCACGUCUUCAAAGGGGGUGGUUGGUAUGCUUUCUUUUCCUGUAUUUUAGUUCAACAUUGAACAGCUGCAUGUGUGUUCUAGGUCAGGCCACAUCAGGAGUCUAAAAGAAAGGCAGGAACCAUCUCUGUUGCCCUAAAACUUCUAACAGUGGGGAAGAUGGCAUGCAUAUAUGAGUUAAAUAAUUUAAGACUGUAGGAACACAUGAGAACAAAUUAAGUAGACUCCGGGGGUGUGGUGCAGGGAAGACAGGGGGCUUUCAAGGAGGAAAGAAGUAGGGGGUAGCAAGGUAAUGUUGAAGAGAAUAUGGUAGAGGCAUGGUCUAGAGGCAGGGGAGAGAGAGAAUGGCAACAUGAGGGAAAAUGCAGAGGCCUGGCACUAUUUAGCAUCGUCUAGGCUUUCUGAAGGAACCAGAGCAAUUAGGGUGGGAGAAAGUGACAGGAGAUUACAUUGGAAAGGAAAGGUUGGGCAAGACUGUAGAGAAUUGUGGAUUUCAUUCCAAGGAGUUUGACUGGACUUGUUGACAAUGAGGCAUCAUGUAAGGUUUUAAGUAGGACAGUGCCAUUCGCCUCACAAAAGGUACAUUUGUAAAUUUAAAAUCAAUUUUUAAACUGAACAUAAAAAUGUUCAAAAGGGAGAGAAAGAGAACAAAAUGAGGCUGCUGUCAUGUCAGACCUUACUGCCUUUUUUACAGCUGGGGAGUUCUCUACUUGAGGCUGUUCAACAAGCUAGGAGAUAUAAAGGAUAUAGAAGAAACAUAUGGGUAUAGUAGGUAUCUCAGGAUUGUUUUAGGGGUCCUGAGAGUCUUAGAAGCAAGCUGUUUAAUGAGCUACCGAAGUCAGGAGACACAGGAAAACAUGUGCAUCAAGAGGGUUCCCAGGCCACAUAGCUGGGGCAGGUCUUACAGAACAACACAGAGCUAAUGCCCUCGGCCUGAUCUCAGCACCUCCUGCUGGUCUCAGUCUGGAUCUCCAGAUCCACCAUGUUCCCGGUUAACUACCCUCCCCAGCUUUUCCCCAUCCUCCCUGAAGUCUGGAUAAAGAUUUCAGUAACUUGCCCUAAUUCACCCAACCAACCUGGCAGAAUAAGAACCCGAAGCUAUGUGCUUCUCUUAACAUCACGGGACCUUUUGCCAAAGGUGUCAACUUCCACCCCAGGGGACUUAGUGCUUCGGAAACCUCGAUUUCCAAACUCUGGACAUGUCAAUAUGGAUGCAGGGCAUCUAAUUUUCCCUUAACUUCAACUGACUUCUGGAGUUCAACAUCUUGACUGCACCUUCCAGACCCUUCUUCCUGUGAAGGCAGCCAGACCCCUGCUACCUGGAUCCUACUGGCCCCCUGAAGGAGAUAACAGGGAGGGGCAGAAAGAGUCUACACCAGCUAGGUAACCUGGUUACCUAGAGGUUAGGUAUCAGGGUACCGGGCGGCAAGUUAAGAAACAAAGAAGCAAAAUGACCAGAGGUGGGCAGCAAAGUCUGAGGACCUGCUCAAUGGAGGCUUACAUUACAGGCACAAAACUAGCAAAAUAGACUUUGCCAUCAGCUACUAUGGCAAGAGGAUGGGGGUGGGAGGCUAGAGAAAGAAGUUUAUUGCCUCCUGCGUAAGCGAUGGAUCGGUGUCAUGGUUUAGACUAGUGGGGAAUACUUUUCACCUCUAAUUUCAAGCUGGCCUUUUAUGUUAAAAUUAUAGCCCAUCCCAAUUCUUGUUUUUCUAACGGGGAUCCUUUUGAGGUAAUAUUCAGCUGUGGAGCUGGGUUUAAAACACCUCACUGAUUACCAUAGCAUGUAAAAAGAAGCUGGGUCCCAAAGAGAGAAGAAUGCAGUUGCCAAAGAGAACACAGAAACAGGCACAGCAGGCUUGGGCUAGGGAGGGCAGCCCCUGUGGCCACAGCAAGUCUUACAGAGCAUAGUGUGGGGCAGUGGAGCCUGCCAUGAAAUAAAUGGGAAGGACCAUGUAACUGGAGGCUGUUCUAGGAGCAACUUCCGAAGCAAAAAGUCCAGGUCUCAGAAAUAAGGGCACCAAACCAAGAAGGGGAUACCCAGUGAAGAUAUGUUCUAUGAGCAUGGAUGGGGACAUGAGGAAGAGGACCCAGACUGGACCAGAAUGGUUCCCUAGUCCACUCUGGUUGAAGGGUUAUCAUUGAUCCCCUGAGUGCGGAAGAAUUCCAGAUCCAUAUCAUCGGCCCCACCCCCCACCCCGCAUAUGCCUUGAGUUUGCAGCCAGUUUUAUCUGCCCCCGGGGACAUUAACAUUCCCCAUUUGUGGUUCCCCUGCCACUCUCCCUGCUCUGGACUCCCACUUCUCUUCUCAGAAAAAUUCCCAUUUCCCCCCCCUUCACGAUCCCUCUUCAAAACAUUCCUCAGGAUUUCUAAGUGUGUCUUCAUUGGUUAUCUGAAUGGCCCUCCUUCUAGGAAGGUAAGUUCACUUUCUUUCCUGAAGCACCUAGGAGGCAUGAUGACUGAUAUUCCUAAAAACAAAGCACACAUGGCUUUGCAAUCUCUCUGGCCUCCUCUCCAUACUCUGGUCUCCUCCCACAUAGGCUGCUUCCUCAACAGCUGCCCCUCUCCUCUGGAUCACCACUCCAAUGGUAUUAGAGCACAGGUGACAUGGUUUGUUCCUUUGGACCAGAGGGCGCCCCCCACUCCCCCAUUUCUGGAGCACACUUCUCCCCUGGGGAAGGGGAGGAGGCGGUGGGUAGCUGGGCAGGGAAGCUGGCUCAGGGAUACACAGGACGUCCCUGGUGUCUGGGUGAUAUGCUUCACCCUGCCCUGUCAGAGCCAAUUGGCUAAACUUCUUUAUUCACAGGUAUCUUGUCCCAGGACCCUACUUCUUCCUUUCUGUCUGCUUUCCUUUGGGGACACUCGGUCCAGCAGAAGUAUCUAAAUAUCCGUUGGUUUCAAAGGUCCCUACAGGGUUCCUGCUCUGUCAGGUGCAACAAGAGAUAUGUCUGGAUAUUGCCGUCAGCGACAGUUAAGAACUUUCCCAAUGUUCUCUGACAGUUAAGAAGCAGUCUGCCUGGAGCAUCAACAGCUGACUUCUGGGUCAGAGGUCAUGAGCUCUGAGGUUCCUCAGGUGUUUCCUGGAUAAAAAUGCCCUUUUACCUGCCUAUAAAAAACUGUACGGUUUUCAUUUUGAAAUAUGUGUUCAGUCAUAUUCAGUACACUGUUUUGCUCUUUUCACAAAAAAUCCUGACUUAAAGAAUUCUAGGUAUUUCUCUAUGUCCAUACAUUGAUUGGAUAGACCUGAAGACGAGGUUCCCGGAGUUUAGGAGCCCAUUGGGCAGCACUCUUGCCCUAAGGAGGCUGAAUUCUGCAGGGGUAGAGUAUUGACAUUGGGCUGGAUGGGAACAGAUUGGGAAGCUGACGCAACCUAGGCAAAAACUGGGGUCAUGAAAGGGUCAAAGUUCUGUCCUGACCUGCUAACAGAUAUGGGGAAGAAAAGGACAUAAUUUUUUUAACCUUAUUUAUUUUGAGAGAGAGAGAGAGAGAGAGAAUGCACAAGCAGGGGAGGGGCACAGAAAGAGGGAGAGAGAGGAUCCUAAGCAGGCUCUGUGCUGUCAAUGAGGAGCCCGAUGCAGGACUCAAUCCCACCAAUUGUGAGAUCAUGACCUGAGCUGAAGUCAAUAGUCAGGUACUUAACCAGUUGAGCCACUCAGGGACCCUGAAAAGGACGUAAUUUUUAAAACCCCUAAAAGUGAACCAUUUUCUUCAUCGUAGACCUAUUUAUUUUUACUUUGUUUGAGAUAUAAAGCAGAAGGAUACAUAAAACUAUCAUUUAAAUAAUAAUCAUCAAGCAAACACCUCUUGAUAUGUGUCUUCUAUAAAGGCAGAAUCUAGUGCUUGAAGUUGACUGAUGGGAGAGGGUACGGGGCAAACAGGGGAAAGGGACAGGUAAAAGCAUAGUGGUGAGAGUUUGAGGUGAGUACUUAAGUCCUUUGACAACUAAAAUAGUAUUCGAUUGAAAUUCUACUGCUGAUUCUUAUCUUUUCCUUAUGUAAUGCACUGUUUAAUAGUGUAUGAGGUGAGUUUUAGAAUCUGAUGAUAGGUCUUACCUGUUUCGGGGAAUUGGGUUGGGUUUUGGGAAAUACUCUUGAUCUCUCAAAAUAUCUGAUGAGGAUUCGUGGAGGAGUAACUGUGGUGACAAUUUGUGAGAAUCAGAACAGCUGGCAAGAGAGGAGUCUGGCUUUGAACUAGUCAACCCACUACAAACACACCUCCCACCUGCCCUAGAAAAUGCUCUGCUUACUCUUUGGCAUUGCAGUUUUUGUUUGUUUGUUUUUUAAACACAGUCUCGAGAUAGUUGUUCAUUGGUUUUGCUACUGAAGAGCUGUUUGUUCUUAUUCCACAGGGGUAUUGGAUUUCAUGGUCUUUGCCUUCAAGUAAGGAAGGAUGAUGCCUGCUCACCACUUUGGUAAGAUUUGAGUGCAGUGCCUAAGACCCUGGGCUUGGGUGUCAGGGAAACCCAAUGUUGGCAAAUAUCCUUCCAAUUACUUUUCAGGGUGCAAACCCACAGAGGCAAAAUGACUUUAUUUUUUCUUUUUAUAAAAGUAGGACAAUAUAAUUUGUGUAGUAAUUUAUAUUUUUAACUUAAUUAAUAGAAAUGAAUAUAUCACUUAAUAGCAAUCUGUAGCUUAUAAUGUCUACAUCGUAUUUUACUGUGUAUAUUUAACCAGCCUCCUACUGUUUAUUUAGGUUGCUUUCAAUUCUUUUUUUUUUCUUUAAUUGGAGUAUAGUUGACACACAAUGUUAUAUUUCAGGUGUACAACAUAGUGAUUCCACAAGUUUAUAUUAUGCUACGCUCACCACAAGUGUAACCACCAUCUGUGACCAUACAACACUGUUAUAAUACCACCGACUAUCAUCCUUACACUGUACCUUUCAUUUCUGUGAGUUAUUCAUUCCAUAACUGCAAGCUCGUAUCUCCCAGUCCCCUUCAUUCAUCCCCGCCCCCCCCCCCCCCCCCCCCCCCCAGCCUCCCUUCAGGAAACCACCAGUUUGUUCUCUGUAUGUAUGGGUCUGUCUGCUUUUUUGGUUUGUUUGUUUAUUUUGUUUUCUAGAUUCUACAUAUAAGUGAAAUCAUAUGGUAUUUGUUUGUAUCUGUGUGACUUAUUUCGGUUAGCAUAAUACCUCCCAGAUCCACCCAUUCUGUCCCAUAGUUAAUUGUUUGCUUUUAUGAAUACUGCUGCAAUUACUAGUCUCACUUCUGAUUAUUUCAUUAGUAUUAAAGACAGGAAUCUGGAAUUUUCCAAACUGUUUGCAUAUUUUAAAACGUUUUUCACAAUAACUUCCAGAAGUUAUCAACGAGGAAGAGAGAGCAAUAUUUUUGCACUGAUGGUAAUGACUUAGGAGAAAGAAAAACUGAUACUUGGCAGAGAGGGCAGAAUAGCGAGAGUAGUGUCGUUAAGGAGGUGAGAGCGUAUGGGAUCUUAGUGCCCAGAUGGGUGUUGGGGGGGAGGCGAUUUUAAAUAGAAGCAAGGAGAACUUACCUCUGGUAGAGAUCAGGAAGAUAGAAUAUGUGGGAGAAGAUGCUGGAAGGUUGACAGUGGGGGUAGGAAAGAGAAGUUCCGACUGCUUCGAGAAGUGAAAAACAAGGUCAUGAGUUAGAGUGAGGGGAGAGGAGAUGAUGAAGGUUUGAGAGAAGAAGAUGGUAAAAUAGAGUUGAUUCUCAUUAUUUGUGGAUUUAACAUUUACAAAUUCACCCAUUUGUUAAAAUUAACUUGUCACCCUCAAACAUGCAGUCUUAGUGUUUUCAUUUGCAGAUAUGUGCACACUCAGAGCUAUGAAAAAUUGUGGUCACCCAACAUGUAUGCUCCCAGCUGAGACUGACCAAGUUACACUGUGCUUUAUUGUUUUAGCCCUCGUGCUAUAAGAAAGUGACCUUUUCGUUGCCUAUGUAGAGCCAUACUUUUAGCACAAAAUGGUGCUUUUGCUGUCUAAAAUGCCCACCUCCAAGCAUAGUGCUGAAAUGCUGUCUAGUGUUCCUAAGAGCAAGGAGGCUGUGGUGUGCCUUAUGGAGAAAAUAUGACUAUUGGACAAUUCAGGCAUGAGUUAUAAUGCUAUUGUCUCUGAGUUAAAUGUUAAUGAAUCAAUAAUAUAGAUUCAGUAAGAUGUCUUUAAAUGAAAACACACAAAGAACAAGAUUAUAUGUGAUCAGUUGAUGAAAAUGUGGCCAGAAGCUUGUAGCAACCUAACUCUGUAUUUUUCCUAGGAGCACUGGUUCAGUAUGCAUUAGUUCACUGUUGCUGGUGACAUCAAAGAACGUCACUGUAGCAAAUAACAAGAAUUGACUGUAUUGGAGCACCUGGGUGGUUCAGUUGGUUAAGUGUCCAACUUCGGCUCAGGUCACGAUCUCGCAGUCUGUGUGCUCGAGCCCCAUGUCGGGCUCUGUGCUGACAGCUCAGAGCCUGGAGCCCGCUUCGGAUUCUGUGUCUCCCUCUCUCUCUGCCCCUCCCCUACUCAUGCUCUGUCUCUCUCUCUCUCAAAAAUAAAUACACUUUAAAAAAAUUUAAAAAGAGAAUUGACCGCAUUUGUCUCAAAGAAUAGGAGAGUGAAUGAAAUAGGGAAGUUGGGCGUCAUAAAACAAGGGUUCAUUUGACUUAAAAUUAGAAAUUUGAAGUAGGAUCAAUCAGCGUGAUUGUGUGUUUUCCUCCAGCCAUAUUAGCUGUACAAAGACAGGUAUGAAAUAGGCAAACAGCUGGUAUUAACUAGGGUUGUGAUUCUGCCAAAGGAAUAUGGUGAGUCCAGGCAGUAGUUGAGGGGUUGAGAAUAUAUGCAAGAGAGUAGUUAUGAUAGUGCUCCUUGUGGCUUAACGUGUGUGUGUGUGUGUGUGUGUGUGUGUGUGUGUGUGUAUUUAUUUAUUUUUCAGUAUAGAGGGAGUCAGGCAUUGUGUAGAUUUACGUCUUUUUCAGUGUGGAAUUCAGGAUUUUAAGUUUUCUGAGGGCAGGUUGUCAGGAUUCGGAUCCAUGUUCCACCAAGUACUAGCAAGAUAAGCUUGUAAACCUGGUGACUGUGUUGUGAUUUGUUCAACCUCAGUGAAACAACUACUGGUAGAGUCGUAUGGUAUUUGCCACACUCAGCAAAACUUUCUCCAGUGGAUCGCACCACUAUAUUCGCCUAUUGGAGCUCUGAAAAACAAAACCUUCCCCAGUCAAGAAUUAGUAAAUGGGAAGACUGGAACAAUUUAUGCUAUCUAAAACCACCACGUUUUAGAGACUUGACCAUGAUAUUUAAUAUGCCCGUAUAAAAAAACUAUUAGUGGUAAUGGUACACGCGUGUUGAUUAAAACUUGUUUUCCUCCAAACUCCAGAAUUCCAUGAUCUGUAAGAACAGAAAUGUCACAUAGCACAAACUUUUCUAGAGAAUAGAGAAGUGCGUAUUUCCCAACGCAUCUUUGAGGCCAGCACAAUGGUGACACCGAAAUCAGACAAGGACUGUGUAACAACAACAACAAAAAAAAAUUAUAAGACAACAUCACUCAUUUAUCUGCAUAAAAAAUGCUAGGUAUGAUAAAAAGCAUACUAAAUUCAGCAAUAUAAAGAACAGAAACUACAUUCUGACCAAGUUGGGCUUAUCCUAGAGAUGGAAAAGUGGUUACCAUUAGAGAAUCUCUAAAUGUAGUUGAUCAUAUAAAUAUGGAAGAAAAACCUACAAAUACUUCAAUAGGGGCACAGAGAGAAUUCGGUAAAAUUCUAUACUCUUUCAUGAUUUAAAAAAAAAAAGCUCUUGGUAAAGACAUGGUAAGAAACAGAAGAGAACUUCCUUAAUAUGACUACAGUUAACCAACCAAAACCUACAACAGACAUUAGAAUCAUCUCAUUAGAAAAUCAAGAACUCACUACUACCAUGCCCUUUCUACAUUAUUCUGGUGGUCCUCGAUAGAGUCAUAAAUCAAGAAAAAGAAAUAAAGAAUGCAAGGAUUAGGAAGGAAAUAAAAUUGUGAUUAUUCACAUCAGAUUGUCUACAUAGAAAACCCAAAACAAUCUUUGCCUCAGCUAUAAAAUGUUUGUUUAAAUGGACAGAAAAAACUACGUACAUUUCUUGAAAAAAAUUUUUUUUAAGGUUUAUUUAUUUUUGAGAGAAAGAGAGACAGACUGUGAGCAGGGGAGUGGCAGAGAGAGAGGGAGACACAGAAUCUGAAAUAGGCUCCAGGCUCUGAGCUGUCAGCACAGAGCCCUACGUGGGGCUCAAACUCAUGAGGUGUGAGAUCAUGACCUGAGGUGAAGUCGAUGCUUAGGGAAAAAAUCAAAAUAAUAAAAGUAAACUCAGUAAGAAAACACAAUUGAAGAGCAUAGUAUUGUUGCAAACUUUCAAUAGCACAAAUGGAAUCAUAUUUAUGUAUCAAAUUUACAACUCAGAGUUGAUUUUCAACUGACCGAAUGUUGACAUUUCAUGGGGUACUCCUCUAAUAUACAUUGGGAAUAAUCUGUUUCUUGAAAGUUUGGCAGAACUUGCCCAUAAAACCAUGUAAGUUACACACACACACAUACACACAAUGAGUUUGUGUAAAAACUGAUGAAAUUGAAUAAUGUCCGUAACCUAGUUGAUAGUAAUCUGCCAAUGUCAAUUUACCGAUUUUGAUAUUGACCUACAGCUAUAAAAGGUGCCACCCUUGGGGAAAGAUGGGUAAAUGAGCAUGGGAUUCUAUUCCAUUCUCUUUUGCAACUUUUUGUAAAUCUAAAAUUAUUUUAAAAUAGAAAGUUAAAAAGAAAAUACAUGGGCCUCUUAUGAAUGACAUUUAUUUAUUUAUUUUUUUACUCAUUUAUGUCAAACAGAUAGAAAUCAUGUAGCACUCGUUUCUUAAUCCAACUCAUUGUUGCUCACGUUAACUAGAAAUGGAGUCCCUUAAAAAAACCUGUGUCAAAAAAGCAAAGCGUUCCACAUUUGUGUUUCUCAAAGCUGGUGCUAUGGAAUUUGAUCUCUGCAGUAGUAAGCUCAUGAGUAUUAACGGUUGUUGGCUAAAAAUAACCCCCAGGGAGGUUACCUGGAGUUCUCUGUCAUCCACGGGUGUAGAGGCAUUUCUGCAACUGACUAGAAGAAACCUUUUUGUCAUCUCUCUGGUCACAGUUGCACUAAGUGCACUCAGCCCACCAUGUGGCCCUUCGCUUGUCACUUCAAUGGAUCAUUGGGCAGCUGUUAUAAAGGGAGUCUAUCCAAAAACACCAGGAUCAGAGACCACAUUCAAGAGAAGCUCAAAGAGGAACGAAUAAUGUGAGGCUUUUAGUUAUCAUUGAAUGUUAUCCUUUAUAAAGUUGAGAGUCAAAAAGGCUUUGAAAAAAGUCACCUUGUGAAAUGACACAGUUCUAUCCACUCUUUUUUUUUUUUUUUGAGGAAUAGAGGGCUCAGUUUCAUUAGGCAGUUUAUUAAAAAAAAAAAAAAAAAACAAAACCUAAGAGCUAGAUAUUUAAAGCCCCUGGGUUACUUUCAAUUUUAAAAGUCUACUUCUAAUGUUCUAAAGUUAAAAAUGGCAGAAAUAUUUUUACACAGCUUUGUAAUUUCUUUUUCUGCCAUGGGUGUCUCAGGCUGGUCCACCAGAUAGAUGUGCCUGAAAUCUUUGCUCUGAAGAGAAGUGCCACGGUGGUGGGAAAAGAAAUCCAAGCAAGCACCAGUGGAGUAUUCCAGGCUGUCAGAGGUCGCUGAGGUAGAAAGAAUGAACACGAUGCCCCGUGCCUCUCUACAGUAGGAAACUAAUAGGACCAAGAGUUAACAUGCUCUGAGGACAGUGCCGUAUUCUGAGGUAAUCACCGACCUUCUGGUCGAGAGGCUCUUCUGUACAUGGCCAGGGCUGGCCCAAUCUUUCUUUCUUCAGUCUUCCACUGAGCUAUCUUCUAUUUUUUCUUCUCUUCAUACAGAGACCUUCUCCUUAGAGUCCUAGGAAGCGGGCCACUUGAUGGAAGAAAAUUGAGUAACUUCCUCCUUCAUAGAGCAUUUCAAAUAAUAAUAAUAAUAUUUUAUAAUAUAAUUUUAUAUUAAUAUAAUAUUAUAUAAUAUAAUUUUAUAAUAAUAUAUUAAUAUUUAUUAAUAAUAAUAAUUAUUAUUAUUAGUGUUGUCAUGUACUUCAUUAAAUGGAGUACUUGAUUUUGUCUCAGUUAAUAUUAGGAAAUGAACUCUAAUGAUUUUCAGAUAUUCCCUAUCUUUAUCCUGUAAAUAUAUUAUUUCCAAUGAUUCAUCCUUGAGAAACAGGUGACAUUUCAUAGAUAGAUAAAGCAAUGCUCACAGAAGACCAGGAUCCUUAUGUUCCAUUGCCAAAGCACUAGGUUCUCAGGUUCCGUUUCCACCCUUGAUUUGACUUGCAUCAUCUCCAGUUUCCACUUUGAGCUUAAAGGGAUCUCUAAUGAUCCUGGAUUCUUGCAUCACUUAUUUGAGAGGCCAGCCACUUGAAGCUGAGGAAAUAGAAGGAGUAGAAUCCCAGCAGACUCUGAAGAGUGACCAGCAGAAAUCAAUACUGCUGGCUCUAUCUUUACUGGACUUCAAUUUAAUAAAGUGAAGAUGUCUUUCUUACCAUUUGAGGAUCCUCUAACAGUGGUGUUUGAGUCCCUCACCAUUAUUGUACUCUGAUGGCUGGACACGUAGUACUGAGCAAGGAGGUGGGACACAGGGACGGGAAUAAGUGUGGCCCUAUGUCCAUGGCUCCCUUAGUCCCCUGNGUAAUCACCGACCUUCUGGUCGAGAGGCUCUUCUGUACAUGGCCAGGGCUGGCCCAAUCUUUCUUUCUUCAGUCUUCCACUGAGCUAUCUUCUAUUUUUUCUUCUCUUCAUACAGAGACCUUCUCCUUAGAGUCCUAGGAAGCGGGCCACUUGAUGGAA
Molecule: long non-coding RNA, 36249 nt
Filed under: Lynx pardinus (Iberian lynx)
Lineage: Eukaryota; Metazoa; Chordata; Mammalia; Carnivora; Felidae
Source: RNAcentral